CGAAAGCCUGACGGAGCAAUACCGCGUGAGGGAGGAAGGCUCUUGGGUUGUAAACCUCUUUUCUCAAGGAAGAAAACAAUGACGGUACUUGAGGAAUAAGCAUCGGCUAACUCCGUGCCAGCAGCCGCGGUAAUACGGAGGAUGCAAGCGUUAUCCGGAAUGAUUGGGCGUAAAGCGUCCGCAGGUGGCUGUGUAAGUCUGCUGUUAAAUAGUGAGGCUCAACCUCAUAAAGGCAGUGGAAACUACACGGCUAGAGUGCGUUCGGGGCAGAGGGAAUUCCUGGUGUAGCGGUGAAAUGCGUAGAGAUCAGGAAGAACACCGGUGGCGAAAGCGCUCUGCUAGGCCGCAACUGACACUGAGGGACGAAAGC
RNAcentral lists this ribosomal RNA (370 nucleotides) under uncultured cyanobacterium. RNAcentral describes it as "bacterial SSU rRNA". It matches the Rfam family "Bacterial small subunit ribosomal RNA", at positions 376 to 760 of the family's 1533-position model. Lineage: Bacteria; Bacillati; Cyanobacteriota. The record is from RNAcentral.